Molecule: long non-coding RNA, 241 nt
Filed under: Lotus japonicus
Lineage: Eukaryota; Viridiplantae; Streptophyta; Magnoliopsida; Fabales; Fabaceae
Description: long non-coding RNA (LJAP_LNC000799)
Source: RNAcentral
GCGUUGUUGGCGGAAGCUCAAGGCUUGCGGUGGGCUAUGGUGAUGGCGAGGGAGCUUGGCUUCAUGACUGUGUGCCUGGAGACGGAUUGCUUACAGGUCUUUAAUGCUUGGAAUGGUUCCUCAGGUGGUAGUUCUUAUUUGGAUUCUAUUGUAGCAGAUUGUCAUCGUUUAGUUUCUCAAUUUCAUUAUGUUUCUAUUUCUUUUGUACGCCGUAGUGGCAAUGCGGUUGCGGAUUAUUUAG